GAUGAAGAACGUAGCGAAAUGCGAUACUUGGUGUGAAUUGCAGAAUCCCGUGAACCAUCGAGUCUUUGAACGCAAGUUGCGCCCGAAGCCAUUAGGCCGAGGGCACGCCUGCCUGGGUGUCACACGUCGUUGCCCCCCCAUCUACUCCUUCGGGAUUGCGGGGCGGAUGAUGGCCUCCCGUGCGCCUCGUCGCGCGGUUGGCAUAAAUGCCAAGUCCUCGGCGACGCACGCCACGACAAUCGGUGGUUGCGAAACCUCGGUUGCCCGUCGUGUGCGGUCGUCGCGCAUCGAGGGCUCGAAAAAAUUGCCGGGCUCCGGCUCGGCUUUCAACGCGACCCCAGGUCAGGCGGGGUUACCCGCUGAAUUUAAGCAUAUCAAUAAGCGGAGGA
Molecule: unclassified non-coding RNA, 389 nt
Filed under: soil metagenome
Description: partial contains 5.8S ribosomal RNA, internal transcribed spacer 2, and large subunit ribosomal RNA
Rfam family: 5.8S ribosomal RNA (bases 1-122)
Source: RNAcentral